RNAcentral lists this long non-coding RNA (1116 nucleotides) under Apteryx owenii (little spotted kiwi). RNAcentral describes it as "lncRNA (ENSAOWG00000001817.1)". Lineage: Eukaryota; Metazoa; Chordata; Aves; Apterygiformes; Apterygidae. The record is from RNAcentral.
UCAGGCAUUCCUCUGAGCAGCUUUAAAUAGAAUUAUUUGCACUCUUUUUCCCUGAAGGAUAUGCUAGGUUUGUACUUUUAUCUGCUAAUUUAAAGCUGGAAGUCCAUGGAAAUGCUAGCUUAAAAAAAAAAAAGGCUUUCCAUAUUUAUUUAAAUAUAACUGCAAAGAGACAUGCACAGCACAGGAGCGUUUAGGACUUUAAAAUGGCACAAGCUUUUGAGGAGAGGCAAUAGUAAGACUGGAGCUGCAGUUUUUUCUUAGUAAAACACGAGAAAUGAUUAAACCGUGCCCGAGCUGCACAUAUGUUUGUGCUAUGUUUAGGAUUUUUUUUUUUUUUUUUUUUUUGCUCCGAGCAAACGUCAAAGGGGAACGGCUCUUCUCGGUUACUGUAGUGAUUUGCAAUUUUCUCUUUUAAUAAAAGACUAAGAGCGUUUGUGAGUCAGCAGAGCUGCGCAGCCUUUGGAAAGGUCAGUCUGAAGAUGCACUUUCGUAUGGUGGAGCCCGAGGCUCCCGGGACGGCUCCAUUUUCAUCGGGCUUGCCCACCCGUGGGUGCGUGAGCCUGCCCCGGGAUGACCACCCUCCACCCCGCGGGCUUCAGGAGAAGCGGAGCGCUUGGUAGAAGAGGGCUCAGGUGGAGCAGAUGCUUAGCAUCAGGGUGCCAAACCGGAGCGAACCCGACUUUCUUCAAAAGGGCUUUUUCUAAAGAAAAGGGUACGUGAAGCAGCAAUGCGAUAGGAUAGGUCAAAGCGGCUGCUGGAUCAAUGCGGGAGUCGCCCAGUGAAUUAUUUCUGGCUGUCCUCUCGUUCCGAUGACAUUGAAGUGCAGAAGGAACAGGGCUGCAAUACCAUCUGUUCAGGCUACCGGAGCCGUGUUAGAAAAGAAAAUCCAUUGCCCUGGCGUAGGGAGGGAAAGCCAGGUCUGCUCUGUCGUAAUUCAAAGGACCGUCGCUUCUGGGGGUUUGAAACAUCCAGGCGGAGAACGGGCAGGAAACCAAGUUACCGUGUAAGUUGUUGAUAAAGUGGAGACCAACUUUUGGGCAUGUGAAACCUUUUAGUUCCCUUGGAGGUUAUCCUUGCUCCGCCAACUGAGGGAAACUUCCAUCUUCCCAUUAAAAU